Molecule: microRNA precursor, 74 nt
Organism: Petromyzon marinus (sea lamprey)
Lineage: Eukaryota; Metazoa; Chordata; Hyperoartia; Petromyzontiformes; Petromyzontidae
Source: Ensembl
ACCUGUUUAUAGGUCUGUGUUGUGAUGUGCGAUGUUUACAAUGCUCCACUUCACACACUGCCCUAUUGACAAUG